This 253-nucleotide ribosomal RNA is filed under the name uncultured bacterium. RNAcentral's name for it is "partial 16S ribosomal RNA". It matches the Rfam family "Bacterial small subunit ribosomal RNA", at positions 524 to 776 of the family's 1533-position model. The record is from RNAcentral.
UACAGAGGUCUCAAGCGUUGUUCGGAUUCCUUGGGCGUAAAGGGUGCGUCGGCGGCGCGGUAAGUCGGGUGUGAAAUCUUGGAGCUUAACUCCGAAACUGCAUUCGAUACUGCCGUGCUUGAGGACUGGAGAGGAGACUGGAAUUUACGGUGUAGCGGUGAAAUGCGUAGAUAUCGUAAGGAAGACCAGUGGCGAAGGCGGGUCUCUGGACAGUUCCUGACGCUGAGGCACGAAGGCCAGGGGAGCAAACGGG